Long non-coding RNA from Microtus oregoni (creeping vole), 350 nucleotides. RefSeq lists it as uncharacterized. The record is from RefSeq and is a predicted model, not a curated record. The transcript is spliced from 3 exons. Lineage: Eukaryota; Metazoa; Chordata; Mammalia; Rodentia; Cricetidae.
GGAGGCUCGCGCUGGCUUCCCUGUUACUGCUGCUGCGCCUUCGCCGCUGGAAAGCAGCAAUUGAGCGGCUCGGCCGAGGCGGCCGCCCGCAGACACUGGUUCAGGUGCAUCCCUUCGCGAUCCUUGGCGCUGCUGCUUCCGAGCUGGGUCGGAGAACGGCCCGAACAAAUGGGAAAGACUGAGAAGGCCCGUGAAAUUGCCCUAGAGAAACAUCACCACCCAUUUCUUCUGGUACUGUAGAGACCAGCUCUCCAACUCCCAAAUUGAGGCCCAGCCCCUAUUUACCUUCUCAUCUGAUGAAUCUGUAGUCAGUGUUUAAAUUUGCUUUCUGAGUGGAUUGAAGAUUUUCC